UACGAAGGGAGCUAGCGUUGUUCGGAAUUACUGGGCGUAAAGCGCACGUAGGCGGACUUUUAAGUCAGGGGUGAAAUCCCGGGGCUCAACCUCGGAACUGCCUUUGAUACUGGAAGUCUCGAGGUCGAGAGAGGUGAGCGGAAUUCCUAGUGUAGAGGUGAAAUUCGUAGAUAUUAGGAAGAACACCGGUGGCGAAGGCGGCUCACUGGCUCGAUACUGACGCUGAGGUGCGAAAGCGUGGGGAGCAAACAGG
This 253-nucleotide ribosomal RNA is filed under the name uncultured bacterium. RNAcentral describes it as "partial 16S ribosomal RNA". It matches the Rfam family "Bacterial small subunit ribosomal RNA", at positions 524 to 776 of the family's 1533-position model. The record is from RNAcentral.